CCUACGGGCGGCAGCAGUGGGGACUAUUGCACAAUGGGGGAAACCCUGAUGCAGCGACGCCGCGUGCGUGAAGAAGUAUUUCGGUAUGUAAAGCUCUGUCAGCAGGGAAGAAAAUGACGGUACCUGACCAAGAAGCCCCGGCUAACUACGUGCCAGCAGCCGCGGUAAUACGUAGGGGGCAAGCGUUAUCCGGGUUUACUGGGUGUAAAGGGAGCGUAGACGGCAGGGCAAGUCUGGAGUGAAAGGCGGGGGCUCAACCCCCGGACUGCUCUGGAAACUGCCAGGCUGGAGUGCAGGAGAGGUAAGUGGAAUGCCGAGUGUAGAGGUGAAAUGCGUAGAUAUUAGGAGGAACACCAGUGGCGAAGGCGGCUUACUGGACUGUAACUGACGUUGAGGCUCGAAAGCGUGGGGAGCAAACAGGAUUAGAUACCCCUGUAGUC
Molecule: ribosomal RNA, 440 nt
Filed under: uncultured bacterium
Lineage: Bacteria
Description: partial 16S ribosomal RNA
Rfam family: Bacterial small subunit ribosomal RNA
Source: RNAcentral